AGGGAAUCAGCAUAAUUUUUUGUGGUGCAUUUACUUGAUUGGUGCUUGGGGAUGUUUGAGGCAGAUUUGUUUCCGUCGUUUUGAGGCCAGCUUGCUGGUACCCAAACGGUGUUAGCAUUUUUUGUCUUGGGCAUUUGAGUAUGGCUCACGUGUAUUUAUUGGACAGAUCUGAGUGUAAGUUACGGUCGCAUGCGACACGUGCUUUUCAAUUAGUUCGGUCCAGUUAAUGCUCUCGUACUCGUUCCCCAUGUAAAAGCCGGUCAUCUAUCCGACCCGUCUUGAAACACGGACCAAGGAGUUUAUCGUGUGCGCAAGUUUUUGGGUGUUAAAAACUUAAAAGCGAAAUGAAAGUAAAUGACUCUUUAGAGUCUGAUGUGCGAUCUUGUAAAAAAGUGUAGCAUGGCCCCAUUCUAACUGUUUACAGUAGGGUGGCGGAAGAGCGUACGCGGUGAGACCCGAAAGAUGGUGAACUAUUCCUGAGCAGGACGAAGCCAGAGGAAACUCUGGUGGAAGUCCGAAGCGGUUCUGACGUGCA
Molecule: ribosomal RNA, 535 nt
Filed under: Meloidogyne incognita (southern root-knot nematode)
Lineage: Eukaryota; Metazoa; Nematoda; Chromadorea; Rhabditida; Meloidogynidae
Description: partial large subunit ribosomal RNA
Rfam family: Eukaryotic large subunit ribosomal RNA
Source: RNAcentral